CUAGCAUAUCAAUAAGCGGAGGAAAAGAAACCAACAGGGAUUGCCCUAGUAACGGCGAGUGAAGCGGCAACAGCUCAAAUUUGAAAUCUGGCUCUUUCAGAGUCCGAGUUGUAAUUUGCAGAGGGCGCUUUGGCUUUGGCAGCGGUCCAAGUUCCUUGGAACAGGACGUCACAGAGGGUGAGAAUCCCGUACGUGGUCGCUAGCUAUUGCCGUGUAAAGCCCCUUCGACGAGUCGAGUUGUUUGGGAAUGCAGCUCUAAAUGGGAGGUAAAUUUCUUCUAAAGCUAAAUAUUGGCCAGAGACCGAUAGCGCACAAGUAGAGUGAUCGAAAGAUGAAAAGCACUUUGGAAAGAGAGUCAAACAGCACGUGAAAUUGUUGAAAGGGAAGCGCUUGCAGCCAGACUUGCUUGCAGUUGCUCAUCCGGGCUUUUGCCCGGUGCACUCUUCUGCAGGCAGGCCAGCAUCAGUUUGGGCGGUGGGAUAAAGGUCUCUGUCACGUACCAUCCUUCGGGAUGGCCAUAUAGGGGAGACGUCAUACCACCAGCCUGGACUGAGGUCCGCGCAUCUGCUAGGAUGCUGGCGUAAUGGCUGUAAGCGGCCCGUCUUGAAACACGGACCAAGGAGUCUAACAUCUAUGCGAGUGUUUGGGUGUCAAGCCCGAGCGCGUAAUGAAAGUGAACGGAGGUGGGAACCCGCAAGGGUGCACCAUCGACCGAUCCUGAAGUUUACGGAAGGAUUUGAGUAAGAGCAUGGCUGUUGGGACCCGAAAGAUGGUGAACUAUGCUUGAAUAGGGUGAAGCCAGAGGAAACUCUGGUGGAGGCUCGCAGCGGUUCUGACGUGCAAAUCGAUCGUCAAAUUUGGGCAUAGGGGCGAAAGACUAAUCGAACUAUCUAGUAGCUGGUUCCUGCCAAU
RNAcentral lists this ribosomal RNA (912 nucleotides) under Curvularia hawaiiensis. RNAcentral's name for it is "partial large subunit ribosomal RNA". It matches the Rfam family "Eukaryotic large subunit ribosomal RNA", at positions 34 to 965 of the family's 3401-position model. Lineage: Eukaryota; Fungi; Ascomycota; Dothideomycetes; Pleosporales; Pleosporaceae. The record is from RNAcentral.